UAGGGAAUAUUGGACAAUGGGUGCAAGCCUGAUCCAGCCAUGCCGCGUGCAGGAAGAAGGCCUUCUGGGUUGUAAACUGCUUUUGCCAGGGGAUAAAAAGCCCAUGCGUGGGAAAUUGAAGGUACCUGGUGAAUAAGCCACGGCUAACUACGUGCCAGCAGCCGCGGUAAUACGUAGGUGGCAAGCGUUGUCCGGAUUUAUUGGGUUUAAAGGGUGCGUAGGCGGUCUUUUAAGUCAGUGCUGAAAUAUCCCGGCUUAACCGGGAGGGUGGCAUUGAUACUGAAGGACUUGAGUUCAGUCGAGGUAGGCGGAAUUGACGGUGUAGCGGUGAAAUGCUUAGAUAUCGUCAAGAACACCGAUAGUGUAGACAGCUUACUAGGCUGAAACUGACGCUGAGGCACGAAAGUGUGGGGAUCAAACAG
RNAcentral lists this ribosomal RNA (422 nucleotides) under uncultured bacterium. RNAcentral describes it as "bacterial SSU rRNA". It matches the Rfam family "Bacterial small subunit ribosomal RNA", at positions 355 to 775 of the family's 1533-position model. The record is from RNAcentral.